UGAAUACGAGACGCUACGGCGUCGAAGCAGUCGAUGUCAUACUUCCAAGAAAAGCUUGCAAUGUCAUAAACAAAUAAUGCCUGUACCAUAACCGACACAGGUGGGUAGGUAGAGUAUACUAAGGGGCGCGAGAUAACUCUCUCUAAGGAACUCGGCAAAAUGACUCCGUAACUUCGGGAGAAGGAGUGCCUUAUUUAUAAGGUUGCAAUAACAAGAUCCAAGCAACUGUUUAUCAAAAACACAGGUCUCCGCUAAGUCGUAAGACGAUGUAUGGGGGCUGACGCCUGCCCAGUGCCAGAAGGUUAAAGAAGUUGGUUAGCAUCCGCGAAGCUGAUAACUGAAGCCCUGGUGAACGGCGGCCGUAACUAUAACGGUCCUAAGGUAGCGAAAUUCCUUGUCGGGUAAGUUCCGACCCGCACGAAAGGCGUAAUGAUUUGGAUACUGUCUCGGAGAGGGACUCGGUGAAAUAGACUUGUCUGCGAAGAUGCGGACUACCUGCACCUGGACAGAAAGACCCUAUGAAGCUUUACUGUAACUUGAAAUUGAAAUUGGACUUUAAUUGCGCAGUAUAGGUGGGAGGCGUUGAGAAUAUUCUUGCGGGAAUAUUGGAGCCAUCAGUGAGAUACCACUCUUGUAAUGUUAGAUUUCUAACUUUGCAUCAUUAUCUGGUCAAAGAACAGUUUCAGGCGGGCAGUUUGACUGGGGCGGUCGCCUCCCAAACGGUAACGGAGGCGUACAAAGGUUUCCUCUGAACGGGUAGAAAUCGUAUCUAGAGUGUAAAGGCAUAAGGAAGCUUGACUGUGAGACCUACAAGUCGAGCAGGGACGAAAGUCGGUCUUAGUGAUCUGACGGUGCUGAGUGGAAAGGCCGUCACUCAACGGAUAAAAGUUACUCUAGGAUAACAGGCUGAUCUCCCCCAAGAGUUCACAUCGACGGGGAGGUUUGGCACCUCGAUGUCGGCUCAUCGCAUCCUGGGGCGGUAGUACGUCCCAAGGGUUGGGCUGUUCGCCCAUGAAAGCGGUACGCGAGCUGGGUUCAGAACGUCGUGAGACAGUUCGGUCCAUAUCCGGUGUAGGCGUUAGAAUAUUGAGAGGAGCCUUCUUUAGUACGAGAGGACCGAGAAGGACAUACCUCUGGUGUACCAGUUAUCGUGCCAACGGUAAACGCUGGGUAGCUAUGUAUGGAGAGGAUAACCGCUGAAAGCAUCUAAGUGGGAAGCCCACCUCAAGAUAAGUAUUCC
This 1240-nucleotide ribosomal RNA is filed under the name metagenome. RNAcentral's name for it is "bacterial LSU rRNA". It matches the Rfam family "Bacterial large subunit ribosomal RNA", at positions 1564 to 2814 of the family's 2925-position model. The record is from RNAcentral.